RNAcentral lists this transfer RNA (84 nucleotides) under Homarus americanus (American lobster). RNAcentral describes it as "tRNA-Leu". It matches the Rfam family "tRNA". From Rfam's summary of the family: Transfer RNA (tRNA) molecules are approximately 80 nucleotides in length. Their secondary structure includes four short double-helical elements and three loops (D, anti-codon, and T loops). Further hydrogen bonds mediate the characteristic L-shaped molecular structure. tRNAs have two regions of fundamental functional importance: the anti-codon, which is responsible for specific mRNA codon recognition, and the 3' end, to which the tRNAs corresponding amino acid is attached (by aminoacyl-tRNA synthetases). tRNAs cope with the degeneracy of the genetic code in two manners: having more than one tRNA (with a specific anti-codon) for a particular amino acid; and 'wobble' base-pairing, i.e. permitting non-standard base-pairing at the 3rd anti-codon position. The record is from Rfam by way of RNAcentral. Lineage: Eukaryota; Metazoa; Arthropoda; Malacostraca; Decapoda; Nephropidae. RNAcentral also lists the same sequence under 3 other names.
GUCAGGUUGGCCGAGUGGUCUAAGGCGCCAGAUUUAAGCUCUGGUACUCGCAAGAGUGCGUGGGUUCGAACCCCACACCUGACA